Manis javanica (Malayan pangolin) is the source of this 107-nucleotide small nuclear RNA. The record is from RefSeq and is a predicted model, not a curated record. NCBI's taxonomy places the organism in Eukaryota, Metazoa, Chordata, Mammalia, Pholidota, Manidae.
GUGUUCACUUUGGCAGCAUAUAUACUAAAAUUGGAACAAUACAGAGAAGAUUAGCACAGCCCUUGCUCAAGGAUAACACGCAAAUUCAUGAACCAUUCCAUAUUUUU